AUGUGGCAAGCCUGCUGGAGAGGAGGUCCAACAGCCAUUCUGCAUGGUGGAGUGUUGCUGCAGUUUGGCUUCCAAGUCUCAUCAACAGUCAGGAAAGAAGUAACUGUCUGCUCCAGCUCUUUUAUGGCUUUAAGAGGAACUUAAGACGGAAUUCAGCGGCUACCUUUUGUGGAGAGACUAAAAAGAUUGGGAGUCUUCAGCAGUGAAAAGAGAAGGUGGGGAAGAGAAGUGAUGACAUCAUGAAAAUUCUGGAUAAGGUAGGAGCAAAAUUUCUGUUCA
RNAcentral lists this long non-coding RNA (279 nucleotides) under Cyanistes caeruleus (blue tit). RNAcentral's name for it is "lncRNA (ENSCCEG00000019349.1)". The record is from RNAcentral. Lineage: Eukaryota; Metazoa; Chordata; Aves; Passeriformes; Paridae.